UUGCUGUGUUGACUUUUUCAACAGUACAAAUGAAGUAACCUUCAAAUCUAUAAGUGUUUCAACAAGUUAGUGCUAAACAUAUUUUACCAGAGUACUAUGCAGCUGGAUAUCUUCUGUUCCACUUCUACAAAUUCAUUUUCAGAUUUCUGUACAAUCCAAAUUCAUUGAUACAAUUCGUAUUCUUAGACUUAUAGGUAUUUCAUUAAUGAAAAUAAAAGAUAUAUUCAUAAGAAUAAAUACUAAUUUAAUCAUAAAAUUGUGUCAUCAAAUUGUGUAUAAAUACAAUUUAUUACUGUUACUUCUACAACUAUUCUAUGUUUCCAUCUAUUCAUAGGGUACAUUACCCAUCAGCCAGUUGGAAGCAAUACCAUCUGGAUCGAACCUAAAAUUAGCCCAGUUAUAUGGAAAGAUCAUCGCAUGAGAGAAAGAAGAGGGCAAGCAGAAGAAAUUUACUGCUUUACUGGCAGAUGCUUCUGGUUUCAUCAAGUGUUCUAUCAGCAACAAGUACUUCCGAACAGUAAAUCUGGCAAAAUCAAAUGACACUACAAUACAUGUCAAAGACUUCCUGCUGGCAAAAAACAUAGUAUAUAUCUCAGACUUCACCACAGUCAUGAGGUGCCAUAUCGUAGUGAAUGUCACACCAGAAAAGCGACAACGCGGAACAGUGCUCUUGGACAAACCAGACAGUGUUGAAGCUAUUAAAGCGUCCCCUUUAAAGACACGUGUUUCAUUGAAAGGCAAAAUCGUCAAAGUAAGAGAUUACAGUAUUUAUCUAUACAAUAAAUUUGCACAGCAAACUCCUGCCUUCCAUAUCAGUGGUAUCCACCAAUAUCACUUAAAGAAUCUUACUACUAAGUUGAACUGCUUCUCGCACAAAACACAUCAAAAUCUUAACUGUCUUCUCUUCAUUUGACUGAGCUAAGAAUUUUUAAAAUUCUCGCACUGGCCCAAACAAUGCCAUGUAGUAAUGACUUAUUGUCAAGCAUGCAGUUUCUUUCACAGUUCCUACAGUUCUGUAUUAAUUAAACUCAAUAUAUGUCUAAAACUAUUGUCAAAUUAUUAUAUCUUCCCUUUGUUUUAAAGAUAUAAGUGCACUAAACCUGGGUUCUAUUGUCGUAGGAUUGCCUAUAUUAUGCACACUUUUUACAAAUUAUAUUAUAAACAUGUGAAUACCAUAUAGUACUUACUGACGACUGUUACAUGCAAGAGAUUUCAAGAACUUGUAUGUAUUACAAGAAUGAUGUUUGCUACUUUUAUUAGCAAAUGUCAUUGCAAAAGUGUAAAUAUGUUGUUAAGUGAAAAACAUAAGUGAAAAACGUAGUUAAAACGCUUAGCCUAAAAUAUAUAAUCCUCUGAUCAAUAGUUCUUUGACAUUGUUUCACAAUUUUGACAAAUAACAAACACCGUCGAUUGUUAAUAUUUUGCUAAAAAGCUAAACCUUUCUCUCUUUAAUAAAUCAGACCGCUUCAAAAAAUAGGAAUUAACAAAACAGGUGAGGAGAAAGAGUUACUAAACGUUAGACUGAAAGACAACACAGGUGUUAUUCCAAUAUCCUUGUGGGGGAAGCACGCCACUACCCACCAAGCAUUAAAGGUGAGUGACUGCAUAAGCGUGGAGAAAGGAGAAAAGGCUGUCUUUCAAAACAAACCAACAGUGAACACAUGGGAAGACAGCACAACAAUAACACUCCUUACAGAAGACAUGACAGAAAUAACGGACAGUGAUGAUGAAACCGCGCAUCAAAGUGCCUCACCUCCACCUGGCACCACGACAGGAGAGUGGGUAUCCUUGGGUAACAUCACAAAAUAUGAAGCAUGCAAAUAGAAACGUUGUUACUUGAAAAAAUUAACUAUAGACAAUGUGUGCCCGACAUGUGGAAAGACUUAGUCUGUCAAAUGUCCCUCCACUAUGGCCUUGAUUGCCACAGUAGG
This is a long non-coding RNA of Ruditapes philippinarum (Manila clam), 1931 nucleotides long. RefSeq lists it as uncharacterized. The record is from RefSeq and is a predicted model, not a curated record. NCBI's taxonomy places the organism in Eukaryota, Metazoa, Mollusca, Bivalvia, Venerida, Veneridae. The transcript is spliced from 3 exons.